This 74-nucleotide transfer RNA is filed under the name Chloroflexota bacterium. RNAcentral's name for it is "Chloroflexi bacterium (freshwater metagenome) tRNA-Gln". It matches the Rfam family "tRNA". Rfam says of the family: Transfer RNA (tRNA) molecules are approximately 80 nucleotides in length. Their secondary structure includes four short double-helical elements and three loops (D, anti-codon, and T loops). Lineage: Bacteria; Bacillati; Chloroflexota. The record is from RNAcentral.
UGAGGGAUAGUUCAGCGGCAGAACGACGGAUUCUGGCUCCGUUAACCGUGGUUCGAAUCCACGUCCCUCAGCCA